RNAcentral lists this ribosomal RNA (461 nucleotides) under Poecilia caucana. RNAcentral describes it as "partial 12S ribosomal RNA". It matches the Rfam family "Bacterial small subunit ribosomal RNA", at positions 875 to 1533 of the family's 1533-position model. Lineage: Eukaryota; Metazoa; Chordata; Actinopteri; Cyprinodontiformes; Poeciliidae. The record is from RNAcentral.
GGGAACUACGAGCAUAAGCUUAAAACCCAAAGGACUUGGCGGUGCUUUAGACCCCCCUAGAGGAGCCUGUUCUAGAACCGAUAACCCCCGUUCGACCUCACCUUUUCUUGUUCGUCCCGUCUAUAUACCGCCGUCGUCAGCAUACCCUGUGAAGGAAAUAUAGUAAGCAAAAUUGGUAAAGCCCAAAACGCCAGGUCGAGGUGUAGCAUACGAAAAGGAAAGAAAUGGGCUACAUUUCCUCUUACAGGAAACACGAAUUGUGUCAUGAAAUAACACAUGAAGGAGGAUUUAGCAGUAAGCAGAAAACAGAGUGUUCUACUGAACCCGGCCCUGAAGCACGCACACACCGCCCGUCACCCUCCCCAAAAAUCAAAAUAUAUCUAUAUUUAAAAACUUACCUAAACUAAAGGGGAGGUAAGUCGUAACAUGGUAAGUGUACCGGAAGGUGCACUUGGAAUAAA